Molecule: ribosomal RNA, 498 nt
Filed under: uncultured bacterium
Lineage: Bacteria
Description: partial 16S ribosomal RNA
Rfam family: Bacterial small subunit ribosomal RNA
Source: RNAcentral
GACGAACGCUGGCGGCAUGCCUAAUACAUGCAAGUUGAACGAUGAUAUUCUCUGCUUGCAGAGACUUGAAGAGUAGCGAACGGGUGAGUAACACGUGGGGAACCUGCCCAUGAGAGGGGGAUAACAUUCGGAAACGGAUGCUAAUACCGCAUAAUGCUUUGGACCGCCUGGUCCAGAGACGAAAGACGGCUUUUGCUGUCACUCAUGGAUGGCCCCGCGCCGUAGUAGCUAGUUGGUGAGGUAAUGGCUCACCAAAGCUGUGAUACGUAGCCGACCUGAGAGGGUGAUCGGCCACACUGGGACUGAGACACGGCCCAGACUCCUACGGGAGGCAGCAGUAGGGAAUCUUCCACAUUGGGCGAAAGCCUGAUGGAGCAAUGCCGCGUGAAUGAAGAAGGUCUUCGGAUCGUAAAGUUCUGUUAUUAGAGAAGAACAAGUCAAGGAGUAACUGUCUUGACUUUGACGGUACCUAACCAGAAAGUCACGGCUAACUACGUG